GUCCUGUUCGUCUAGAGGCCUAGGACGCCAGGUUCUCAUCCUGGUAACAGGGGUUCGAAUCCCCUACGGGACG
RNAcentral lists this transfer RNA (73 nucleotides) under Phycisphaerales bacterium. RNAcentral's name for it is "tRNA-Glu". It matches the Rfam family "tRNA". Rfam says of the family: Transfer RNA (tRNA) molecules are approximately 80 nucleotides in length. RNAcentral also lists the same sequence under 1 other name. The record is from RNAcentral. Lineage: Bacteria; Pseudomonadati; Planctomycetota; Phycisphaerae; Phycisphaerales.